CGCCGCGGUUAUACGAGAGGCCCAAGUCGAUAAAACCCGGCGUAAAGGGUGGUUAAGGAUUUUGAUGACUAGAGAAGAACGCUCUUCAAGCUGUUAUACGCCCCCAAGAGUAUGAACCCCUACCACGAAAGAAGCUCUAUUUUGCCUGAACCCACGACAGCUUUGGUA
This 168-nucleotide ribosomal RNA is filed under the name Synodus hoshinonis (blackear lizardfish). Its description in RNAcentral is "partial 12S rRNA". The record is from RNAcentral. Lineage: Eukaryota; Metazoa; Chordata; Actinopteri; Aulopiformes; Synodontidae.